GGUAUCAAUUGAAUGAAUGGUUGCAAUAUGAAAACACUACCGCGAACUGUUCCGUUGUUAGGAUUGACAGGUGGAGUUAUACCGAUGCUGAAGACAAGGAUCAAUACCUCGUUAGGUGCGGAAGAUUCAACUAUACGUG
This is a non-coding RNA of Dermacentor andersoni, 139 nucleotides long. The record is from RefSeq and is a predicted model, not a curated record. Lineage: Eukaryota; Metazoa; Arthropoda; Arachnida; Ixodida; Ixodidae.